UGGGGAAUAUUGCAUAAUGGGCGAAAGCCUGAUGCAGCAACGCCGCGUGAGUGAUGAAGGCCUUCGGGUUGUAAAGCUCUGUCUUUUGGGACGAUAAUGACGGUACCAAAGGAGGAAGCCACGGCUAACUACGUGCCAGCAGCCGCGGUAAUACGUAGGUGGCAAGCGUUGUCCGGAUUUACUGGGCGUAAAGGAUGCGUAGGCGGAUUUUUAAGUGAGAUGUGAAAACCCUAAGCUUAACUUGGGGACUGCAUUUCAUACUGGAAAUCUAGAGUGCGGGAGAGGAGAAUGGAAUUCCUAGUGUAGCGGUGAAAUGCGUAGAGAUUAGGAAGAACACCAGUGGCGAAGGCGAUUCUCUGGACCGUAACUGACGCUGAGGCAUGAAAAGCGUGGGUAGCAAAACAGGAUUAGAUACCCUGGUAGUCCACGCCGUAAAACGAUGAGUACUAGGUGUAGGAGGCAUCGACCCCUUCUGUGCCGCAGUUAACACAAUAAGUACUCCGCCUGGGAAGUACGAUCGCAAGAUUAAAAACUCAAAAGGAAUUGAGGGGGUC
This 554-nucleotide ribosomal RNA is filed under the name uncultured bacterium. Its description in RNAcentral is "partial 16S ribosomal RNA". It matches the Rfam family "Bacterial small subunit ribosomal RNA", at positions 355 to 920 of the family's 1533-position model. The record is from RNAcentral.